UGAGUAACCUGCCCUUGACUCUGGGAUAAGCCUGGGAAACCGGGUCUAAUACUGGAUACGACCUUCUGGCGCAUGCCAUGUUGGUGGAAAGCUAUUGUGGUUUUGGAUGGACUCGCGGCCUAUCAGCUUGUUGGUGAGGUAAUGGCUCACCAAGGCGACGACGGGUAGCCGGCCUGAGAGGGUGACCGGCCACACUGGGACUGAGACACGGCCCAGACCUCCUACGGGAGGNAG
Molecule: ribosomal RNA, 234 nt
Filed under: uncultured bacterium
Lineage: Bacteria
Description: partial 16S ribosomal RNA
Rfam family: Bacterial small subunit ribosomal RNA
Source: RNAcentral